AUGAUCGAAACGAUGGAUACCCAGCGGUGCCUGCAGGCAGUGGAGAGGCUACAGUCUCGCUUGAAGGAGAAGGGAGCAGAUGUUCCUGCGGAGGAGAAGCUGAAUCUCCUGAAAGCCGUCCUGCAGAGUCCUCUGUUCCUCCAGAUCCUCAGCCUGCAGAAAUCAGUGCAGCAUCUCAAGGAGCACGUAAGAAAACCCAACAAUACACUGCUUUCAUUUUGCGGCAGCAGCAAUGAAGGGUUCUCAGCUCAGCUCAAUGGACAGCCUUCACCUGAAGAGUACAAUCACAUCAUCCGCUCCAUGGCCCAGGGUCGGUACGUGACUCAAAUUGACCUACUGAAACCGGUAUCAGGCGGUUUGGGCUUCAGUGUUGUUGGACUGUGCAGUGAAAAUCGCGGAGAACUUGGCAUCUUCAUUCAGGAGAUUCAGCCUGGAAGUGUGGCAUACAGUGAUGGGAAACUGAAGGAGGGCGAUCAGAUACUGGCGAUUAAUGGUCAUCCACUGGAUCAGAGCGUCAGUCACCAGCAGGCCAUCGCUCUCCUCCAGCGGGCAUCGGAGAGGGUCACCCUGAGCGUGGCCCGCGGGCCAGUACCGCAGCUCUCCAGCCCCGUGGUGUCCAGAACACCCAGCGCCGCCAGCACACUGUCUGCACACUCCAGCGCGACCCACUGGACUCAUGUGGAGACCAUUGAGCUGGUCAAUGAUGGAACCGGACUGGGUUUUGGGAUUGUUGGUGGUAAAACCACUGGAGUUAUUGUGAAAACCAUCCUACCUGGAGGCAUCGCUGAUCAGGAUGGGCGUUUGCGAAGCGGCGAUCACGUCCUGCGCAUUGGGGAUACGGAUCUGUUGGGUCUGAGCAGUGAACAGGUCGCUCACGUCCUCAAACAAUGUGGAAACAGAGUCCGAUUGCUGAUCAGCCGCGGGAUGGCAGACGACGUUUCGGCCGCUCCUGUUUCCCUGCCCACCGUCAAUGAGCAACAGAUCUAUAGUUUUACCGAGUCAUGCGACUUCGAGGAGCAGGACGCUUUCGAUGUGAGCUUGACGAAGAAUGCUCAGGGUUUGGGCAUCACCAUUGCUGGAUAUGUAGGAGACAAAACCUCAGAGCCCUCUGGGAUAUUCGUGAAGAGCAUUUCGAGGGACAGCGCCGUGGAGCAGGACGGACGGGUUCAUGUUGGAGAUCAGAUCAUAGCUGUGGACGGUGUGAACAUCCAGGGUUACACUAACCAGCAGGCUGUGGAGGUUUUGAGACACACUGGUCAAACUGUAAACCUGCAACUGGUGCGCCGCGGCUUUAAGCCAGAGGACGCCUGUCCGUCAAUCAUUCCUGUCGCUGUGGAGACAGAUCCCGCCCACACUCAACCGGUGGACGUGGAUAAUGUUGGCAUGUCUCAAUCAGGUCCUGUGAAGCUGAGCGCUCAGGAGGAACUCGCACUUCAGCAGAGAUGGCAGAAUCAGCUCGGCGUCUGCUCUCAAGUCAUCGUGGCUCAGGUGGAGAAGUUCAGUGAGAGCAGUGGUUUAGGGAUCAGUCUGGACGUUUGUGCCGGACAUCAUUACCUGCGCUCCGUGCUUCCAGAGGGACCCGUCGGCCGAUCCGGAAAAAUCUGCAGUGGAGACGAACUGCUGGAGGUGAAUGGUGUUCCCCUCAGAGGAGAGACUCAUAAAGAGGUUGUUGACAUUCUGAAAGAACUUCCUGUUUGUGUGACCAUGGUCUGCUGUAGACCCGCCUCUCUGGUGACUGACAGCCAGACUGACCAACCACAGCUCGAGGACACGCCCUCAAAUGCCAUACCUCAGGUAUUGAACAUUCUCACCAUGUGGGAGACAGAGAUCCAGGACAUCCAGCUGGAGAAAGGAGAGAGCGGCCUGGGAUUCAGCAUUCUGGAUUAUCAGGACCCGCUGGACCCUCUAAAGACAGUGAUAGUGAUCCGCUCAUUGGUUCCGGAUGGCGUGGCAGAGCGGGACGGUCGUCUGCUACCCGGAGACCGUCUGAUGUUCGUCAACAGCAUCGACCUGCAGAGCGGCAGUCUGGAGGAGGCAGUGCAGGCACUGAAGGGGGCACCCAUGGGCAGCGUCCGCAUCGGAGUGGCCAAACCCCUGCCUGUGAGAAACACCACACUUUUAGUACUGCUGCUGCUGCUGUCUGUGUGUAUCGACUCCAGUGAUUUAGAUCUGUCUGAUGAGAAAGCGUUUGAGCGCCACUUUCUGGAGGAGGAAGAGGAAAAUCAGCAGUCGAUGAUCGCUGAACACGGCAGUUUCUGCAGCGCUGAUCUGACCUAUCAGACAAACAGACACACCUCCACACUGCAGGUAUGCAUAUCUAGCAGAAUGACGGUGUGCGCGCUGAAGGACGGUCCAGGGAUGUUGAUCCGCAGCAUCAUUCACGGCGGCUCCAUCAGUCGGGACGGCCGGCUGCGGGUCGGGGAUCUGAUUCUAGCCAUUAAUGGAGAGCUGACGGGGAAUCUGACCAAUGCACAGGCCAGAGCCAUGCUGCGCAGACACUCUCUGAUCGCAUCGGACAUGGGGAUCACGUAUGUUCCUGCAGAAUAUUUAGAGGAAUACCGAGCAAGCGUGCAGCCCCAGAGUGACGAUAUCUCUGAUGGAAAAAGCGGCUCUCAACUUCAGACACUGUCAGAUCUUCCAGAGAGAGAGGAUGGAGAAGGACAGGAGAGCGAACGACAAGCCAACAACUGGAAUCUGCCUCGCAGAGUUGAGCUGCUCAAGGAAGCUGGGAAAUCUCUGGGCAUCAGUAUUGUUGGUGGGCGGGGCAUGGGCUGUCGCCUUAGCAACGGGGAAGUGAUGCGGGGCAUCUUCAUUAAACACAUCUUGGAGGACAGUCCUGCAGGACGCAACGGCACUCUAAAGACUGGAGACAGGAUUGUAGAGGUGGGAGGAGUGGACCUGCGUGAUGCCAGUCAUGAGCAGGCGGUGGAGGCCAUCCGUAACGCUGCAAACCCGGUGGUGUUCCUGGUCCAGAGCAUCAUUCAGAAAGACAGAGUCAACUCGGACACGCUGACGGAGAUUCCUGACCGACUGGACCUUCAUCACAACGCUCCUGAUGAGGAAGAGGAGGAUGAGUACGGAUACAGCUGGAAGAAGGUCAGCGAGCGCUAUGGUCGUCUGCCGGGUGAGCUCCACAUCCUCCAGCUCGAGAAAGGUCGUGCGGGUUUGGGUUUGAGUCUGGCUGGCAACCGCGAUCGUUCUCGAAUGAGUGUGUUUGUGGUCGGCAUUGAUCCCAGCGGUGCGGCCGGACAAGAUGGACACAUCCUGGUGGGAGAUGAGCUGCUGGAGAUUAACGGUCAGGUUCUGUACGGUCGCAGUCAUCAGAACGCCUCCGCCAUCAUUAAAAGCGCCCCUUCAAAGGUCAAGAUCAUCUUCAUCCGGUGGGAGGAUGGAGGAGUCGGGAUGGAGGAGGACAGCAGGAGCGGAUGCAGCAUACACAGUGUCGAGGAGAACGGAGCCGCUGGAUGGGUAAGAGUUAUCAAGUGUGCACAUUUACAGAUGUGUGAGAGUUUUAGAAAAUAUGUAUGCUUUUACUUCUGCCAUGGCGUUCACUUUUAUCCCGUGGCACUUCUUGUAAAGAUUAUCCGGUACUCCAGCAGAUGCUCCACACCGGCAACACUGGCGUCUGAUCCGACCACAUGUCCCAUCAUCCCCGGCUGCGAGACCACCAUAGAGAUCUGCAAGGGCAGAACGGGACUGGGUCUGAGUAUAGUUGGUGGCUGCGAUACUUUACUGGGCGCUAUAAUCAUUCAUGAAGUGUACGAGGAAGGAGCUGCGUCUAAAGAUGGCCGACUGUGGGCAGGAGAUCAGAUUCUGGAGGUGAAUGGCAUAGACCUGCGUGUGGCGACUCAUGAUGAAGCCAUAAAUGUCCUCCGUCAGACUCCGCAGCGCGUGCGGCUCUCCGUCUUCAGAGACGAGGCUCAGUAUAAAGAGGAAGAGCUGUGGGACUCGCUGAGCGUCGAGCUGCAGAAGAAGCCCGGACAGGGACUCGGACUCAGCAUCAUCGGCCGAAGGAGCGACACCGGUGUGUUUGUGUCUGAUAUAGUGAAGGGUGGAGUGGUGGAGCAGGACGGUCGGCUCCUGCAGGGAGAUCAGAUCCUCUCAGUCAAUGGAGAAGAUGUUCGUUCGGCCACGCAGGAGUCUGUGGCGUCUCUGCUGAAGAGUUCUGCUGGUCCAAUCCGAUUGGAGAUCGGACGCUUUAAGGCGGGGCCUUUUCACUCGGAGCGCCGUCUGUCUCAGAGCAGUCAGGUUACACUUCAGUCCUCUUCGCCAGGAGAAACAGACAAAACUCACGAAUGUAAGAACUCUCUGGGCAUCAGUAUAGCUGGUGGUGUUGGCAGUCCUCUGGGUGAUGUGCCCAUCUUCAUCGCCAUGAUGAACCCCAGCGGCCUCGCAGCGCACACACACAAACUCUGGAUUGGAGACAGGAUUGUGUCCAUCUGUGGAAACUCAACAGAAGGAAUGAGUCACAAUAAAGCUGUUUCACUGCUGAAGAACACAACUGGCCUUAUACAACUACAGGUUGUUGCUGGAGAUACAUCAGUGACGGGACCUUCAGCAGAGCAGACAGCAGGACUCACAGCCAGCAGCAUCUUCCAUGAUGACCUGGGUCCUCCGCAGUGUAAGAGCAUCAGUCUGGAGCGCGGGCCUGAUGGACUGGGCUUCAGUAUUGUUGGAGGAUUCGGCAGCCCUCACGGAGACCUUCCCAUCUACAUCAAAACCGUCUUCAGCAAGGGAGCGGCAUCAGAGGACGGGCGUCUGAAGCGGGGAGAUCAGAUCAUCGCUGUGAACAGUCAGAGUCUGGAGGGAGUCACUCAUGAAGAGGCCGUUUCUAUUCUGAAGAAGACCAAAGGCACCGUCACACUCACUGUGCUCUCAUAA
Molecule: non-coding RNA, 4881 nt
Organism: Danio rerio (zebrafish)
Lineage: Eukaryota; Metazoa; Chordata; Actinopteri; Cypriniformes; Danionidae
Source: Ensembl